This 497-nucleotide ribosomal RNA is filed under the name uncultured bacterium. RNAcentral's name for it is "partial 16S ribosomal RNA". It matches the Rfam family "Bacterial small subunit ribosomal RNA", at positions 28 to 507 of the family's 1533-position model. The record is from RNAcentral.
GAUGAACGCUGGCGGCGUGCCUAAUACAUGCAAGUCGAGCGAACAGACGAGGAGCUUGCUCCUCUGACGUUAGCGGCGGACGGGUGAGUAACACGUGGAUAACCUACCUAUAAGACUGGGAUAACUUCGGGAAACCGGAGCUAAUACCGGAUAAUAUAUUGAACCGCAUGGUUCAAUAGUGAAAGACGGCUUUGCUGUCACUUAUAGAUGGAUCCGCGCCGCAUUAGCUAGUUGGUAAGGUAACGGCUUACCAAGGCAACGAUGCGUAGCCGACCUGAGAGGGUGAUCGGCCACACUGGAACUGAGACACGGUCCAGACUCCUACGGGAGGCAGCAGUAGGGAAUCUUCCGCAAUGGGCGAAAGCUUGACGGAGCAACGCCGCGUGAGUGAUGAAGGUCUUCGGAUCGUAAAACUCUGUUAUUAGGGAAGAACAAAUGUGUAAGUAACUAUGCACGUCUUGACGGUACCUAAUCAGAAAGCCCCGGCUAACUACGUG